Long non-coding RNA from Herpailurus yagouaroundi (jaguarundi), 530 nucleotides. RefSeq lists it as uncharacterized. NCBI's taxonomy places the organism in Eukaryota, Metazoa, Chordata, Mammalia, Carnivora, Felidae. The transcript is spliced from 3 exons. The record is from RefSeq and is a predicted model, not a curated record.
UGGCGGACACCUCUCAGCUGUCUCACCUACCUCCCAUUCCAACUGCUAGAAACAACAUUUCCCAGAAUGCCUUGCAGCCGGGUUCUGCAGGUGAUUUAGAUCCUUCUAGCUAUGAUGCAUGGAAGCUUUUUUGGCCAUCUUGCUACUGACCAACACACAGAGAGGGGCAGUUCCCAGAAAACACAGAAAAGAUGGAGUGCUGAAGUACUUGCCUGGUGUCCUGUCUUCCCAUCUCUGGACUUCCUUAUAUAUGAGGUCAGGAAUCUGGACACAACUUAUCUGAGUGCCUCUGCCAAAAUAUCUCCCCCAAGGUUGUAACCAAGGUGUUGUCCAGAGCUGUGGUCUCAUCUUACAGCUGGACCAGGGGAAGAUCUGCAACCAAGCUCAUGUACAUGGUUGUUGGCAGGAUUCAGUUCCUCAUAAGCUGUUGAACUGAGGACUACAGAUUCUCAUUAGUUGGGUAGAGGCUUCACCGAGCUCCUUGCCAUAUGUCUUCUUCUUAGGGCAGUUCAACAUGGCAGCUGACUUAA